Molecule: long non-coding RNA, 2936 nt
Organism: Lotus japonicus
Lineage: Eukaryota; Viridiplantae; Streptophyta; Magnoliopsida; Fabales; Fabaceae
Exons: 4
Source: RefSeq, a predicted model, not a curated record
CUUCAUCUUCUUCAACCCAUAUUUUCCAGAAAACCCAACAACUACAAUCUUCAACCUAUGUUCAUCAAUCCUCUUCAACCCAUACAAACCCAACACUUUAAAGUCUAAAUUUCAAACUUGAUAUUUUUUUUUCUCUUCUCUCCCCAACUCAAACCCAUUUUCCUCCUCACUUCUUUUCUUUUAGCAAAUCAUUACUCUUUUCAUAUUGGUCUGCGCCAUGUGAGUACAACUAAAGCUAAGGUAAAGAAACAAGGAAAAGAAAAUUGUUUGGAAGCAAACACUAAGUGGGCACGAAUAAAUAAGCACAAAGGGGUGUCACCAUGGAUAUUACAUAAAAAGAAAACAAACAAAAGAAGAAAAAGAAACAGAGCACAAAGAAGAGAAGCGAAACAGAGUCGCAAUGCAGCAGGGAGAAACAGAAACAAAAGGAGCCAGGUACACAACAGAGGGCCACGAAUCACAUCCUUCACCAUCGGCCUUCCAGAAAUUCUGCGGUAUAAUUACACCCUUCCAACCAGAAUUUCUUCUACAGAAUCAACAAAGAGUACCUUUUACUCAUGUGAAACACCCAAAUCAACAAAGCCACACACAUUAAAGAGUAGUAGCAUGAAUUGAAAGGGACAACGACAGCGCUGUAAGACCCGAAGCUAGAACCAACGUAGGAAACCGGGAGGAUGAGCGGCAGACAUGGAUCUGGUAGCAGUGACGAAAACUGAGAGGGUUGCGGCGCCGGGAGCAGAGUGCGCGAGCAGCGACACCGGAACUUUCUGGGUAUGAUUUCUGGAUCUGAGUUUUAGAUCUGGGUCUUCUUGGUUUCAUUGUAGAUCUAGGGUUACAGUGACUAAAAGAAAAAGGAGAACGGGAAGAGAGGGAGCAGACUGAUGGUGACCUUUGGCUCCGUUCACUCAUCUCAUAGCCAUGGAUGCUCAGCAUGCUUUGCUUAACGGAGGAAAAGAAAAAGGGUUUCAAGGAAGUCUCCUGAGUCCUGAGACACGACAAGGUUUGAAGAUGAUGUUGAUAAGGAUGAUCAGUUUUGUUUUUAGUUUUUUAAAUAAUUAAUAAUCUGAUUAAUAAAAAAAUUAAGAUAAAAAUAAUUAAAUGGAAAAAGAAAAAAAAUCCAACAAGGUUCAUUAAUUGACGUGGCAAGGCCACAUUAGCCGUCGGAGCUCCGGCGUUGACUCAAACGGCCGGAGGGACCAAAACCAGCUAUUUUGCAAAAAAACUGAGGACCAAUCCCCACCUUUACUUCGGUGAGGGACUAAAGCCAUAUUUAUGACAAAGGUUGGGGACCAAAAACUGGAUUAAGCCUUCUUUUGCUAAGCAUUGCAUGCCACUGAUAGGGUUGGAUGGAUGCUUUCUCAAGGGAGUUUAUGGAGGAGUUGAUGGCAAAUAUUGAAACAACCAAAUGUUUCCUAUUGCCUAUGUUGUUGUAGAAGCUGAGACCAUAGAUUCCUGGGCUUGGAUUCUAGAACUCCUACUCAGUGAUCUCAAUCAAGUGCAGAAGAGAAGGUGGUCCUUCAUAUCUGAUCAACAGAAGGGGCUGAUACCUACUCUAGCUAGUUUAGAUGAAAACUUGGAGAAUAGGUUAUGUAUGAAGCACUUGUAUGCCAACUUUAGAAAGAAAUUCCCAUGAGAGUUACUGAAGAAUGCUAUCUAGAAGGCAUCUAGAGCUAGCACUGUCCCUAAAUGGAAGACCGCAAUGGACCAGAUGAAAGCCUUAAAUGAAGCUGCUUAUGAAGAAAUGAUGAGGCUUCCUUCAAAAUUCAGGUCCAGAUCAGCCUAUAGCCCUCACACCAAGUGUGAUUUACAAGUAAACAAUAUGUGUGAGGCUUUUAAUAGGGGAUAUUCUGGACCAUAGGGACAAGCCAAUAAUUUCUCUCCUUCAAGGAUUGAAAUUCUACAUGACAAAUAGAAUAGUCAAGCAGAGAGACUUAAUGCAAAGGUGGAGGCCAAGCCAGUUGUGUCAUGUGAUCCAGUAAAAACUAGAGAUAGUGAAAAAACAUUCUGAUUGGUGAAAAGUUAACUGGAAUGGGGAUGAUGAUUAUUCACUUUUUGAAGUCAGUAGGGAUAUUGACAAGUAUAGGGUGAAUCUGAAGGAAAAAGCAUGUGCUUGUAGGAGGAGGCAUACAUUCUUACAAAGUUAUGCUAACUCUUGCCCAACAGUGGAGCCAAGUUGUGGCUAGAGGUGCAAACACUACCACUAAAUCCACGUUUUGUUAGGAUGACCCCUGACUGACCAAAGAAGCAGAGAGUUAAGACAAAUGAUGAACCUAAAGACCCAAAUAAGUUGAGAAGGCAUCAUAACACUGUUAAGUGCAAGAGGUGUGGAGAGUAUGGAUACAACAACAGAACUUGCAAGGGUAAGACAACAGCUGACAUGACCAUUCCUACAGGGGGAAAUCAGGAAAAUACAUAUGAGUUGCAACCAGAGCAGAGGGCACAAACUGCUAGAAAUGAUGCUGGAACUUGAACUCAGGCUACUACAAGAUCAAAAAAGCCUGCUGUGAGAGGGAAGAAGACUAAUGCAAGUGAAAGUUCAAAACAAGUUGUUGUACGAGCAGAGAAGGCAACGCAAGCUACUGGAACUACAAAGAAGGGAAAAGCUACUGCAAGUUCCAAGCAAGCAGCUGAAGGAAGAAAAAGAUCUCAGAAUCCACUUGUUGGUUCUCAGCCAGCACCUACUGGAUCUCACCCUGCACCUAGGAGGGGGAGAAAAAGUAAAAUUCAAGAUAUUAGUGCAACUCAGUAGUUUGAGGAUUUUGAUGUUAUGUUUAGGGAUGAACUAUUUAGGCUAAGUAUUUAUGAUGUUUGGUGUACUUUAAGAUGUUGAACAAGUAUUUAUGUGGUUGCAAGUUUAGGUUUUUGAGUUAUGCUAUGAACAACUAAUGCCAAUUUAGGCUUCUUUUGGAUGCAUUCAAGUACUGAUGCUAAUUUAG